RNAcentral lists this ribosomal RNA (254 nucleotides) under uncultured bacterium. RNAcentral's name for it is "partial 16S ribosomal RNA". It matches the Rfam family "Bacterial small subunit ribosomal RNA", at positions 102 to 353 of the family's 1533-position model. The record is from RNAcentral.
ACGGGUGAGUAACGCGUGAGUAACCUGCCUUCAAGAGGGGGAUAACAUUCUGAAAAGAAUGCUAAUACCGCAUGACAUAUCGGAACCACAUGGUUUUGAUAUCAAAGAUUUUACCGCUUGAAGAUGGACUCGCGUCCGAUUAGUUAGUUGGUGAGGUAACGGCUCACCAAGACCGCGAUCGGUAGCCGGACUGAGAGGUUGAACGGCCACAUUGGGACUGAGACACGGCCCAGACUCCUACGGGAGGCAGCAUG